AUGGACAAGGUGAAGAGCCAUGGCAGCAAGCAGAGGCGGUCAGGAAGAGGAAGGAUCAGCAGGAUGUUGAGGCAACAAAAGGCCAGGCUCUACAUCAUCCAGCGAUGCGUCGUCAUGCUCCUAUGCUACCAUGACUGA
This 138-nucleotide ribosomal RNA is filed under the name Triticum aestivum (bread wheat). RNAcentral's name for it is "partial small subunit ribosomal RNA". Lineage: Eukaryota; Viridiplantae; Streptophyta; Magnoliopsida; Poales; Poaceae. The record is from RNAcentral.